GAACUACUUCCUCCGUCCGGAAAUACUCGUCGGAGAUACUCGUCGGAGGAAUGGAUGUAUCUAGAUGUAUUUUAGUUUUAAAUACAUUCAUUUUUAUGCAUUUUUUCGACAAGUAUUUCCGGACGGAGGGAGUAUUUA
Non-coding RNA from Triticum aestivum (bread wheat), 138 nucleotides. The record is from Rfam. NCBI's taxonomy places the organism in Eukaryota, Viridiplantae, Streptophyta, Magnoliopsida, Poales, Poaceae.